RNAcentral lists this long non-coding RNA (1213 nucleotides) under Sitophilus oryzae (rice weevil). RNAcentral describes it as "uncharacterized LOC115875147". The record is from RNAcentral. Lineage: Eukaryota; Metazoa; Arthropoda; Insecta; Coleoptera; Curculionidae.
UAGAUGCCCUGUAAACAAAUAUUCAAGCAAAAAUACAGUGUUUCUUAUUCUAACAAAUAAAUAAACCUGUAAAACUGUAUAAAUAAAAACGAUCUUCCAUUAUGAAAUAAAAAGAUCGAUUAUACCAAAAGAUAGUUUGAUAAAACUCGAUAGAUUUUAAUCGAUUUUUUGGGUAAAAAGAUCGAUCUUCGACUGAAAUCGAUUCGAAUCGUACAUCCAUAACAUAACCUAAUAAAAAAACAACAAGUGAACUAUAAACGUAAACGUGCUUCAUCCAAACUAUUUUAAUAAUUAAAACACUGAGAUAACGUAAAGAUAAGUGAUGCAAAUAAUUAUUUUAAGGAUAGAAUCGGUAAAAUAGUUCUUGUUAUGUUUGUGUUUUCAGUAUCUAUUUUAAGGUGAGUGAAUUUAAAACCAUGAUUCCUCGAAAAAAAAUAGGUUAUACUAAAAAAUAUUUUAAAAUUCAACCAAAAAAAAAGGAGCCAAAAUCUUAUUAAGUCAAUGUUACGCAAAUAUGACUUCAAUUUUGUACAUUAAACUGGAUUCUCUGUACAUCAUCAAAGUAGUAGUAUCUCUGGUAGUAUCAUUGAAGAUUUCUGUUCUGAUAAGUGUAGUUCCAGUGCUGAAAUUUCUUACAAUAUAGUAUUUAUAUAGGUAUUUAUGUAGGCUCUUCUAUAAUCAUUUAUUGUGUAUUUUUUAAGAGAAAGGUAUUUUUUAGAAUUAUUAGGUUCGAGAAUUAUCUAGACUUGGUGGUUCAGGAGUAGCACAAAGUACAAGGAAAAUGCUUUAUAAGGUUCUGGACAAUGAAAUUGCACAAAAAUAUUCUUGGGAUGGGGCCAAACAGAAGAGAAGUUUGAAAUCAUUGUUAGUGGCCAAAAGCAAUUUUAGACUCCAUGAAAGGUCAAUUUCAAGAGUCAAAAGAAACCGAUAUUAUCAAUAUAAUUAAAAUAUGGCUUGUAAAAACAAAAGAAAGAUUAAAAAAUACCAAGAAGGGUAGACAAGAGAAUAUAGAAACAUAGACAUAGAAGAUAAUAUCAAUGUAUAUCGUUAUAUUAAAAUAUUUUUAAUUAAUAAACAUAUAUUACUCAAGUUCGUCUUUAUCCUUACCUAUUAUUUUUAACCGUUCUAUUUAUUACUUAAUUUUUGAUUAUUACACACCAAAUUAUUUAAUUUCAGCAAAUUGUUUGUAGUGUGUUCCAGAUAUGAAUGUACU